Molecule: ribosomal RNA, 427 nt
Filed under: uncultured Chlamydiales bacterium
Lineage: Bacteria; Pseudomonadati; Chlamydiota; Chlamydiia; Chlamydiales
Description: partial 16S ribosomal RNA
Rfam family: Bacterial small subunit ribosomal RNA
Source: RNAcentral
UCGAGAAUAAUUCGCAAUGGGCGAAAGCCUGACGAUGCGACGCCGUGUGAACGAUGAAGGCCUUCGGGUUGUAAAGUUCUGUCGUCUCUGAGCAAGGGAUGCGUAAUAAUACUAUGCAUUCGUGAGAGUAAGAGAGAAGGAAGCACCGGCUAACUUCGUGCCAGCAGCUGCGGUAAUACGAAGGGUGCAAGCGUUAGUCGGAAUUACUGGGCGUAAAGGGCGCGUAGGCGGGAGUAUACGUCAGAUGUGAAAUUACGGAGCUUAACUUCGGAGCUGCAUCUGAAACUGUACUUCUAGAGGGAUAAUGGAGAAAACGGAAUUCCACGUGUAGCGGUGAAAUGCGUAGAUAUGUGGAAGAACACCUGUGGCGAAAGCGGUUUUCUAAUUAUUACCUGACGCUGAGGCGCGAAAGCAAGGGGAGCAAACA